RNAcentral lists this ribosomal RNA (1367 nucleotides) under metagenome. RNAcentral describes it as "bacterial LSU rRNA". It matches the Rfam family "Bacterial large subunit ribosomal RNA", at positions 1481 to 2925 of the family's 2925-position model. The record is from RNAcentral.
UGUCUCGGAGCCGGGUGUUGGUUCCGGUAGCGAUCGAGGGAAAUUAGUACCGAAGUCCGGGAUGGAAGAUGGCGAGAAAAGCUGUGUGUAUUUCUGCGGUGCCCGUACCGCAUACCGACACAGGUAGGUAGGAAGAAGAUUCUAAGGCCAACGGGAGAAGGGUUGUUAAGGAACUCGGCAAAUUGACCCCGUAACUUCGGGAGAAGGGGUGCUCUAGAGAUAGAGCCGCAGAGAAUCGGCCCAAGCAACUGUUUACCAAAAACACAGGUUUGUGCUAAAUCGAAAGAUGACGUAUACGAGCUGACGCCUGCCCGGUGCUGGAAGGUUAAGAGGAGAUGUGCAAGCAUUGAAUCGAAGCCCCAGUGAACGGCGGCCGUAACUAUAACGGUCCUAAGGUAGCGAAAUUCCUUGUCAGGUAAGUUCUGACCCGCAUGAAAGGCGUAAUGAUUUGGGCACUGUCUCGACAGCCCGCCCGGCGAAAUUGUAGUACCGGUGAAGAUGCCGGUUACCCGCGACAAGACGGAAAGACCCCAUGGAGCUUUACUGUAGCCUAAUAUUGGGUUUCGAUGUUGCAUGCACAGGAUAGAUGGGACACUGGGAAGCAAGUGCUUUGGCAUUUGUGGAGUGGCCGUUGGGAUACCAUCCUUGCGAUAUUGGAAUUCUAACCUGCGCCUUUGAAUCAAGGCGGGGGACAUUGUUAGGUGGGCAGUUUGACUGGGGCGGUCGCCUCCUAAAGAGUAACGGAGGCGUUCAAAGGUUCGCUCAGCUUGAACGGAAAUCAAGCAAAAGAGUGCAAACGCAGAAGCGAGCCUAACUGCGAGACUGACGGGUCGAGCAGUAACGAAAGUUGGAGUUAGUGAUCCGGUGGUAUGUGAGUGGAAAUGCCAUCGCUCAACGGAUAAAAGUUACCCUGGGGAUAACAGGCUGAUCUCCCCCAAGAGUCCACAUCGACGGGGAGGUUUGGCACCUCGAUGUCGGCUCAUCGCAUCCUGGGGCUGUAUUCGGUCCCAAGGGUUUGGCUGUUCGCCAAUUAAAGCGGUACGCGAGCUGGGUUCAGAACGUCGUGAGACAGUUCGGUCCCUAUCUGUCGUGGGCGCAGGAUAUUUGAUGGGAGCUGUUCCUAGUACGAGAGGACCGGAGCGGACGUACCUCUGGCGCACCAGUUGUUCUGCCAAGGGCAUAGCUGGGCAACUAUGUACGGAUCGGAUAAACGCUGAAAGCAUCUAAGCGUGAAGCCGACCCAAAGAUAAGAUAUCCCAUUGUUUCAAACAAGUAAGACCCCUUGAAGACUACAAGGUUGAUAGGCAUGAUGUGUAAGUGGAGUGAUCCAUUCAGCAAGUAUGUACUAAUAGGUCGAGGGCUUGAUC